UAGAGAUGCAGUCAUUCAGGAAUUAAUUCAUUCCUCCGUUCAUUCAUUCAUAAGCAUGUAGCAAGCUCUGUUCCAGGCACUGGAGAUUCAAAGAUGCAUCGGGUCCUGUACUUUGGGAGGCCACAGUCCGCUAGUGAGAUAUCAGGUCCAGUCCAACUUUUACCUCAAUAUGAGAACCGUCCCAGCCUGGCUGUUGAGUCAUGCGAUGGUCCACCUCACUAAGCCACCUGACAAAUCCUCAAGACUUUCAGUGUCCCACGUGAUGGCGAGGUGAAAGGACGGCCACUUUCCAGGGACCCUCCAUUUCUACACCUGUUGCCAACCACUCUGCCAUCCUCUGACAAGGACCCCUCAAUGAGCCUUUUGUCCCUGAAGCUCGUGUGACACCUCUAAAAGAUCCAUCAUCUUUGAGUGCCUGUGAUUCUUCAUAUGUGACCUGAGAAGAUUAAAGGCAACUUCUCCAUAGCCGUGGGAGGCCUUGGCAUUGAAAUGUAUCCAAAGUACCAUGAGAUCCUCAGGUGUUUUUCUUAUCCUUGAAGCUGUUCCUGAAAUCCUUCUUAGCAGGGUAUGAGGCCUGGGAGAUUAUCCCAUGGUUUUCUUAAAGGUGAAAUCUGGUUAAACAACAGUGGCUGCCAUAAUGGAGGGAAGCUGAAGAGUAAAGGCAAGAAGGCAGUCAUCUGGCAAACAUGUUGGAGGAAAAGGACAGUACACAAAGUAGGUGGGGCUUAGUUCUCUUCCUCUUGAGCGUGGGCUGGACCUGCUGACUCACUUUAAUGAAUGGAAGAAGGAAGGGGAGUGUAAGUUUACAGCAGAGAAGACUGGAAGACAACACCUUAACCACAUGAUCAUGAUUAACAUCCCCAGCCAUGAGUCACGUGGGCAGCGUGGUGACUAAACACGAGGUUACCCAAAAAAUCUUGGAAAGGAAUAAAAGGCCGUCAGUGGAAAAGCUGGUGAAAUCCAAACGAUGUCUACAGUCGAGCUGAUAGUAACAUGCAAAGAAAAGGUUAAGAAAGAGAAGCCUCCUCCUAGGAAGAACUCAUGAUACAUUUAUUUCCUUUCAAGGGAAACUGACAUCCAAAUGAUGCUUGAAAGCCUUUAGGGGAUGUGACAACCCCUCUACUCUAUUUACCCUGGAAGGGAGAGUGGGAAGAGGCUCACCGCUCAUCAGAAUACUCAGGGGUCCCCUGAGCCAGCCUCCUACAGGUGGUAAGAUAAGCCCCUCGGUGAAGUUCAGGCUAUCACCAAGCUGUGUGCAGAAGGAUUCAAAGCCAGAAAUGAGGGACGCUUGGCGAUAAACUGCUGUGACCAGCCCCGCUGCUUCUUUCCUAUCCAAUAUCUUCCUGAAGAUACAGUCACCACAGGACCAUACAUAUUUGCAAAU
Long non-coding RNA from Choloepus didactylus (southern two-toed sloth), 1384 nucleotides. RefSeq lists it as uncharacterized. The transcript is spliced from 5 exons. The record is from RefSeq and is a predicted model, not a curated record. NCBI's taxonomy places the organism in Eukaryota, Metazoa, Chordata, Mammalia, Pilosa, Megalonychidae.